RNAcentral lists this ribosomal RNA (137 nucleotides) under uncultured bacterium. RNAcentral's name for it is "partial 16S ribosomal RNA". It matches the Rfam family "Bacterial small subunit ribosomal RNA", at positions 355 to 509 of the family's 1533-position model. The record is from RNAcentral.
UGGGGAAUAUUGCACAAUGGGGGAAACCCUGAUGCAGCGACGCCGCGUGAGUGAAGAAGUAUUUCGGUACGUAAAGCUCUAUCAGCAGGGAAGAAAAUGACGGUACCUGACUAAGAAGCCCCGGCUAACUACGUGCC